Molecule: long non-coding RNA, 441 nt
Filed under: Pongo abelii (Sumatran orangutan)
Lineage: Eukaryota; Metazoa; Chordata; Mammalia; Primates; Hominidae
Description: lincRNA
Source: RNAcentral
AACUAUAUUGAUUUCCUUCCGUGAUGAGUCUCUGAGACCUAGUUUUGGCAGAAGGAAGUACCAGAGGGAGCUGAGCUGUUGAACAUUAUGUGCGAUCGUGUAAUAGCUGCAAUCGGAAGGGAAACACUCAGAGUCCUGGAGAAAGAGAAAUUUGCGUUUGUGGACGCCUACUGGGAGCUAGGCACUUUCAAAUAGUUCCUGUCACCUAACUUAAAAUUUCAUAUUCAAAGGCCAUCAUCAGCUCUCUUGUUAGAAGGGGUCCAGGCUGAACACCCUCUUUUCUCUCAAUGAUCCCAGCUACGACACAGUUUUCUGACCUUCAACAUCCUGGAGGCCCAAGACUAUUCAAAUAUGUCACAAAUAUCUCUAAUCACAUCUUGUGAUUAUGAUUUGGAUAGAAGAUAAACACUAUUUCCAUAAUGAUGAAUGUAAGACAUUUGA